AUUGAACGCUGGCGGAAUGCUUUACACAUGCAAGUCGAACGGCAGCACGGACUUCGGUCUGGUGGCGAGUGGCGAACGGGUGAGUAGUGUAUCGGAACGUGCCCAGUCGGGGGGGAUAACGUAGUGAAAAUUACGCUAAUACCGCAUACGAUCUAUGGAUGAAAGCGGGGGAUCGCAAGACCUCGCGCGAUUGGAGCGGCCGAUAUCAGAUUAGGUAGUUGGUGGGGUAAAGGCCCACCAAGCCAACGAUCUGUAGCUGGUCUGAGAGGACGACCAGGCAACAUGGAACUGGGACACGGUCCAGACUCCUACGGGAGGCAGCAGUGGGGAAUUUUGGACAAUGGGCGAAAGCCUGAUCCAGCCAUUCCGCGUGCAGGAUGAAGGCCCUCGGGUUGUAAACUGCUUUUGUACAGAACGAAAAGGUUUCUACUAAUACUAGGAGCUCAUGACGGUACUGUAAGAAUAAGCACCGGCUAACUACGUGCCAGCCGCCGCAGUAA
RNAcentral lists this ribosomal RNA (500 nucleotides) under uncultured bacterium. RNAcentral's name for it is "partial 16S ribosomal RNA". It matches the Rfam family "Bacterial small subunit ribosomal RNA", at positions 30 to 523 of the family's 1533-position model. The record is from RNAcentral.